GAAAUGCGAUAAGUAAUGUGAAUUGCAGAAUUCAGUGAAUCAUCGAAUCUUUGAACGCACAUUGCGCCCGCCAAUAUUCUGGCGGGCAUGCCUGUUCGAGCGUCAUUUCAACCAUCAAGCCCCGGGCUUGUGUUGGGGACCUGCGGCUGCCGCAGGCCCUGAAAACCAGUGGCGGGCUCGCUGUCACACCGAGCGUAGUAGAUUCUCAUCUCGCUCAGGGCGUGCUGCGGGUUCCGGCCGUAAAACAGCCUUAUUUUACCCAAGGUUGACCUCGGAUCAGGUAGGAAGACCCGCUGAACUUAAGC
RNAcentral lists this unclassified non-coding RNA (305 nucleotides) under plant metagenome. Its description in RNAcentral is "partial contains 5.8S ribosomal RNA, internal transcribed spacer 2, and large subunit ribosomal RNA". The stretch from base 1 to 105 matches the Rfam family "5.8S ribosomal RNA", at positions 50 to 154 of the family's 154-position model. The record is from RNAcentral.